GUGAAUCAUCAAAUUUUUGAACGCAAAUUGCACUCUCCUCGGAGAGUAUGCCUGUUUGAGGGUCAGCCUAUAAAAAAUCGACAUCGUUGCUGUUUCGCGGUGGCGUUCGUCGGAAAUUGGGUCAUCUUAAAUCUUUUUGUUUUAAGCGACUUAAAAUUUUCUUUUUGGUCCCAUGAACGUUUCUAAGAUUUAUUUCUUUACACGUUUAGUGAACCGAUUUUUUUUGUAGUUACCAUCCUUACCGAU
This 246-nucleotide unclassified non-coding RNA is filed under the name Glomeraceae sp. RNAcentral describes it as "partial contains 5.8S ribosomal RNA and internal transcribed spacer 2". The stretch from base 1 to 65 matches the Rfam family "5.8S ribosomal RNA", at positions 84 to 154 of the family's 154-position model. The record is from RNAcentral. Lineage: Eukaryota; Fungi; Glomeromycota; Glomeromycetes; Glomerales; Glomeraceae.